Molecule: ribosomal RNA, 594 nt
Filed under: cf. Leptonchus sp. 803S-012
Lineage: Eukaryota; Metazoa; Nematoda; Enoplea; Dorylaimida; Leptonchidae
Description: SSU rRNA
Rfam family: Eukaryotic small subunit ribosomal RNA
Source: RNAcentral
UUCUAACCGUAAACGAUGACAACUAGCGAUUAGUCGGCGUUAAUUUACGACCCGACUAGCAGCUUCCGGGAAACCAAAGUUUUUCGUUUCCGGGGGAAGUAUGGUUGCAAAGCUGAAACUUAAAGGAAUUGACGGAAGGGCACCACCAGGAGUGGAGCCUGCGGCUUAAUUUGACUCAACACGGGAAAACUCACCCGGCCCGGACACCGUAAGGAUUGACAGACUGAGAGCUCUUUCUUAAUUCGGUGGGUGGUGGUGCAUGGCCGUUCUUAGUUGGUGGAGCGAUUUGUCUGGUUAAUUCCGAUAACGAACGAGACUCUGGCCUAUUAAAUAGACGGUAUAUCGAAAAAUAUAUCGCGCUUCUUAGAGGGACAAGCGGCGUCUAGCCGCAUGAAAUAGAGCAAUAACAGGUCUGUGAUGCCCUUAGAUGUCCGGGGCUGCACGCGCGCUACACUGAAAGAAUCAGCGUGCGCAAAACCUAGUUCGGAAGAACCGGGUAACCCGAGUAAAUUCUUUCGUGCUUGGGAUAGGGAAUUGCAAUUAUUUCCCUUAAACGAGGAAUUCCCAGUAAAUGCGGGUCAUAAGCUCGCGUUG